Molecule: ribosomal RNA, 449 nt
Filed under: uncultured bacterium
Lineage: Bacteria
Description: partial 16S ribosomal RNA
Rfam family: Bacterial small subunit ribosomal RNA
Source: RNAcentral
AACGAACGCUGGCGGCAUGCCUAACACAUGCAAGUCGAACGAGAUCUUCGGGUCUAGUGGCGCACGGGUGCGUAACGCGUGGGAAUCUGCCCUUUGGUUCGGAAUAACAGUUGGAAACGACUGCUGAUACCGGGUGAUGCCGAAAGUCCAAAGAUUUAUCGCCAGAGGAUGAGCCCGCGUAGGAUUAGCUAGUUGGUGUGGUAAAGGCGCACCAAGGCGACGAUCCUUAGCUGGUAUGAGAGGAUGAUCAGCCACACUGGGACUGAGACACGGCCCAGACUCCUACGGGAGGCAGCAGUGGGGAAUAUUGGACAAUGGGCGAAAGCCUGAUCCAGCAAUGCCGCGUGAGUGAUGAAGGCCUUAGGGUUGUAAAGCUCUUUUACCCGGGAUGAUAAUGACAGUACCGGGAGAAUAAGCUCCGGCUAACUCCGUGCCAGCCGCCGCCGUAA